GGCUGUCAGCACAGGCUGUUCUCAUGCUGACUGUGUAGACAGUAGGCUCUCCCCAUGUACACCUCAGCCCCGGCCCUGUGCCUGGUCUGUAUUGUGAAUGGGGAGACAUGG
RNAcentral lists this small nucleolar RNA (111 nucleotides) under Castor canadensis (American beaver). RNAcentral describes it as "Small nucleolar RNA SNORA51 (ENSCCNG00000015522.1)". It matches the Rfam family "Small nucleolar RNA SNORA51". Rfam says of the family: ACA51 is a member of the H/ACA class of snoRNA that guide the sites of modification of uridines to pseudouridines. The record is from RNAcentral. Lineage: Eukaryota; Metazoa; Chordata; Mammalia; Rodentia; Castoridae.